CUUUUGGGAUGCAUUUUGUGCAGAUGUCUAACGAUUGGAAACCCAUCACUGGGCAAAGUGUGUCUCAAAAU
Drosophila mojavensis is the source of this 71-nucleotide non-coding RNA. The record is from Rfam. Lineage: Eukaryota; Metazoa; Arthropoda; Insecta; Diptera; Drosophilidae.